AUUGAACGCUGGCGGCAGGCCUAACACAUGCAAGUCGAACGAGCGGCGGACGGGUGAGUAAUGUCUGGGAAACUGCCUGAUGGAGGGGGAUAACUACUGGAAACGGUAGCUAAUACCGCAUACCAUCGGAUGAGCCCAGAUGGGAUUAGCUAGUUGGUGGGGUAACGGCUCACCAAGGCGACGAUCCCUAGCUGGUCUGAGAGGAUGAGCAGCCACACUGGAACUGAGACACGGUCCAGACUCCUACGGGAGGCAGCAGUGGGGAAGAUUGCACAAUGGGCGCAAGCCUGAUGCAGCCAUGCCGCGUGUAUGAAGAAGGCCUUAGGGUUGUAAAGUACUUUCAGCGGGGAGGCGUUACCCGCAGAAGAAGCACCGGCUAACUCCGUGCCAGCAGCCGCGGUAAUUC
RNAcentral lists this ribosomal RNA (406 nucleotides) under uncultured bacterium. Its description in RNAcentral is "partial 16S ribosomal RNA". It matches the Rfam family "Bacterial small subunit ribosomal RNA", at positions 30 to 526 of the family's 1533-position model. The record is from RNAcentral.